This 794-nucleotide ribosomal RNA is filed under the name uncultured Thermococcus sp. Its description in RNAcentral is "bacterial SSU rRNA". It matches the Rfam family "Archaeal small subunit ribosomal RNA", at positions 85 to 876 of the family's 1478-position model. Lineage: Archaea; Methanobacteriati; Methanobacteriota; Thermococci; Thermococcales; Thermococcaceae. The record is from RNAcentral.
ACGGCUCAGUAACACGUCGGUAACCUACCCUCGGGAGGGGGAUAACCCCGGGAAACUGGGGCUAAUUCCCCAUAGGCCUGAGGUACUGGAAGGUCCUCAGGCCGAAAGGGACUUAUGUCCGCCCGAGGAUGGGCCGGCGGCCGAUUAGGUAGUUGGUGGGGUAAUGGCCCACCAAGCCGAAGAUCGGUACGGGCUGUGAGAGCAGGAGCCCGGAGAUGGACACUGAGACACGGGUCCAGGCCCUACGGGGCGCAGCAGGCGCGAAACCUCCGCAAUGCGGGAAACCGCGACGGGGGGACCCCGAGUGCCGUGGCAACGCCACGGCUUUUCCGGAGUGUAAAAAGCUCCGGGAAUAAGGGCUGGGCAAGGCCGGUGGCAGCCGCCGCGGUAAUACCGGCGGCCCGAGUGGUGGCCGCUAUUAUUGGGCCUAAAGCGUCCGUAGCCGGGCCCGUAAGUCCCUGGCGAAAUCCCACGGCUCGACCGUGGGGCUUGCUGGGGAUACUGCGGGUCUUGGGACCGGGAGAGGCGGGGGGUACCCCUGGGGUAGGGGUGAAAUCCUAUAAUCCCAGGGGGACCGCCAGUGGCGAAGGCGCCCCGCUGGAACGGGUCCGACGGUGAGGGACGAAGGCCAGGGGAGCAAACCGGAUUAGAUACCCGGGUAGUCCUGGCUGUAAAGGAUGCGGGCUAGGUGUCGGGUGAGCCUCGAGCUCGCCCGGUGCCGUAGGGAAGCCGUUAAGCCCGCCGCCUGGGGAGUACGGCCGCAAGGCUGAAACUUAAAGGAAUUGGCGGGGGAG